This 894-nucleotide ribosomal RNA is filed under the name Bacteroides faecichinchillae. RNAcentral describes it as "partial 23S ribosomal RNA". It matches the Rfam family "Bacterial large subunit ribosomal RNA", at positions 608 to 1504 of the family's 2925-position model. Lineage: Bacteria; Pseudomonadati; Bacteroidota; Bacteroidia; Bacteroidales; Bacteroidaceae. The record is from RNAcentral.
UUGCAUAAUGAACCUACGAGUUACUUUUUCCGGCAAGGUUAAGUGUCUUUAGACAUGUAGCCGAAGCGAAAGCGAGUCUUAAUAGGGCGUCGAGUCGGAAGGAGUAGACGCGAAACCAAGUGAUCUACCCUUGGUCAGGUUGAAGGUUAGGUAACACUAACUGGAGGACCGAACCGAUAAGCGUUGAAAAGCUUCCGGAUGAACUGAGGGUGGGGGUGAAAGGCUAAUCAAACUUGGAGAUAGCUCGUACUCCCCGAAAUGCAUUUAGGUGCAGCCUUGUGAGUUACUAAUGUGAGGUAGAGCGACUGAUAAGAUGCGAGGGCUUCACCGCCUAUCAAGUCUUGACAAACUCCGAAUGCGCAUUAGUUCUAUCACAGGAGUGAGGGCAUGGGUGCUAAGGUCCAUGUCCUAAAGGAGAAGAAUCCAGACCAUCAGCUAAGGUCCCCAAAUAAACACUAAGUUGAACUAACGAAGUCAGAUUGCUAAGACAGCUAGGAUGUUGGCUUGGAAGCAGCCAUUCAUUUAAAGAGUGCGUAACAGCUCACUAGUCGAGGAGUUUGGCGUGGAUAAUAAUCGGGCAUUAAGUGUUUUACCGAAGCUAUGGGAUACGUAAGUAUCGGUAGGGGAGCAUUCCACUCAGCGUUGAAGGUGAAGCGUGAGCUUUGCUGGAGCGUGUGGAAACGCAAAUGUAGGUAUAAGUAACGAUAAAGGGGGUGAGAAACCCCCUCGCCGAAAGACUAAGGUUUCCUGAUCAACGCUAAUCGGAUCAGGGUUAGUCGGGUCCUAAGGCUCAGCCGAACGGUGAGGCCGAUGGCAGAACAGGUUAAUAUUCCUGUACUACCUAAAGGAGUGACGUGGAGACGGAGCAGUGACAGCGCCGCGGACUGACGGAAU